RNAcentral lists this ribosomal RNA (254 nucleotides) under uncultured bacterium. RNAcentral's name for it is "partial 16S ribosomal RNA". It matches the Rfam family "Bacterial small subunit ribosomal RNA", at positions 524 to 776 of the family's 1533-position model. The record is from RNAcentral.
UACGUAGGGUGCGAGCGUUGUCCGGAAUUAUUGGGCGUAAAGAGCUCGUAGGCGGUGUGUCACGUCGUUCGUGAAAACCUGCAGCUUAACUGUGGGCGUGCGGUCGAUACGGGCAUCACUGGAGUUCGGCAGGGGAGACUGGAAUUCCUGGUGUAGCGGUGAAAUGCGCAGAUAUCGUUUGGAACGCCAAUGGUGAAAACAGGUCGCUGGGGAUGAGCUGACGCUGAGACACGAAAGCCAGGGGAGCAAACGGG